UAGUCCACGCCGUAAACGAUGGAUACUAGCUGUCCGGUGUCUUGAACACUGGGCGGCCAAGCGAAAGUGAUAAGUAUCCCACCUGGGGAGUACGUUCGCAAGAAUGAAACUCAAAGGAAUUGACGGGGGCCCGCACAAGCGGUGGAGCAUGUGGUUUAAUUCGAUGAUACGCGAGGAACCUUACCAGGGCUUAAAUGCAUAUUGACAGGGCCAGAGAUGGCUUUUCCUUCGGGCAAUUUGCAAGGUGCUGCAUGGUUGUCGUCAGCUCGUGCCGUGAGGUGUCAGGUUAAGUCCUAUAACGAGCGCAACCCUUGUCUUUAGUUGCCAUCAUUUAGUUGGGCACUCUAGAGAAACUGACCGGUGACAAACCGGAGGAAGGUAAGGAUGACGUCAAGUCAGCAUGCCCCUUACGCUCUGGGCUACACACGUGCUACAAUGGUCGUGACAAAGAGUUGCUAGUCUGCGAAGGCAAAGCCAAAUCUCAUAAACGCGGCCUU
This 497-nucleotide ribosomal RNA is filed under the name uncultured bacterium. RNAcentral describes it as "bacterial SSU rRNA". It matches the Rfam family "Bacterial small subunit ribosomal RNA", at positions 791 to 1289 of the family's 1533-position model. The record is from RNAcentral.